AGCUUGCUCCUCUGUUGAUUUCCGGACCGGUGUGUAUUGCCUACUUAAUCUGCCUGGUAGUGGGGGACAACGUUUCGAAAGGAACGCUAAUACCGCAUACGUCCUACGGGAGUAAGCAGGGUACCUUCGGGCCUUGCGCUAUCAGAUGAGCCUAGGUCGGAUUAGCUAGUUGGUGAGGUAAUGGCUCACCAAGGCGACGAUCCGUAACUGGUCUGAUAGGAUGAUCAGUCACACUGGAACUGAGACACGGUCCAAACUCCUACGGGAGGCAACACUGGGGAAUAUUGGACAAUGGGCGAAAGCCUGAUCCAGCCAUGCCGCGUGUGUGAAGAAGGUCUUCGGAUUGUAAAGCACUUUAAUUUGGGAGGAAGGGUUGUAGAUUAAUACUCUGCAAUUUUGACGUUACCGACAGAAUAAGCACCGGCUAACUCUGUGCCAGCAGCCGCGGUAAUACACAGGGUGCAAGCGUUAAUCGGAAUUACUGGGCGUAAAGCGCGCGUAGGUGGUUCGUUAAGUUGGAUGUGAAAUCCCCGGGCUCAACCUGGGAACUGCAUCCGAAACUGGCGAGCUAGAGUAUGGUAGAGGGUGGUGGAAUUUCCUGUGUAGCGGUGAAAUGCGUACAUAUAGGAAGGAACACCAGUGGCGGAAGCCACCACCUGGACUGAUACUGACACUGAGGUGCUAAAGCGUGGGGAGCAAACAGGAUUAGAUACCCUGGUAGUCCACCCCGUAAACUAUGUCCACUAGCCGUUGGGAGCUUUGAGCUCUUAGUUGCCGCAGCUAAUGCAUUAAAUUUACCGCCUGGGGAGUACGGCCGCAAGGUUAAAACUCAAAUGAAUUGACGGGGGCCCGCACAAGCGCUGGAGCAUGUGGUUUAAUUCGAAGCAACGCGAAGAACCUUACCAGGCCUUGACAUCCAAUGAACUUUCCAGAGAUGGAUUGGUGCUUUCGGGAACAUUGAGACAGGUGCUGCAUGGCGGUCGUCAGCUCGUGUCGUGAGAUGUUGGGUUAAGUCCCGUAACGAGCGCAACCCUUGUCAUUAGUUACCAGCACGUUAUGGUGGGCACUCUAAGGAGACUGCCGGUGACAAACCGGAGGAAGGUGGGGAUGACGUCAAGUCAUCAUGGCCCUUACGGCCUGGGCUACACACGUGCUACAAUGGUCGGUACAAAGGGUUGCCAAGCCGCGAGGUGGAGCUAAUCCCAUAAAACCGAUCGUAGUCCGGAUCGCAGUCUGCAACUCGACUGCGUGAAGUCGGAAUCGCUAGUAUUCGCGAAUCAGAAUGUCGCGGUGAAUACGUUCCCGGGUCCUUGUACCAGCACCGCCCGUCACCACCCAGUGGGAUGUGGG
This 1350-nucleotide ribosomal RNA is filed under the name Pseudomonas sp. Bi46. RNAcentral describes it as "bacterial SSU rRNA". It matches the Rfam family "Bacterial small subunit ribosomal RNA", at positions 77 to 1418 of the family's 1533-position model. The record is from RNAcentral. Lineage: Bacteria; Pseudomonadati; Pseudomonadota; Gammaproteobacteria; Pseudomonadales; Pseudomonadaceae.